This 368-nucleotide ribosomal RNA is filed under the name uncultured Streptococcus sp. RNAcentral describes it as "bacterial SSU rRNA". It matches the Rfam family "Bacterial small subunit ribosomal RNA", at positions 1031 to 1397 of the family's 1533-position model. Lineage: Bacteria; Bacillati; Bacillota; Bacilli; Lactobacillales; Streptococcaceae. The record is from RNAcentral.
GUGACAGGUGGUGCAUGGGUUGUCGUCAGCUCGCUGUCGCUGAGAUGUUGGGUUAAGUCCCGCAACGAGCGCAACCCCUAUUGUUAGUUGCCAUCAUUCAGUUGGGCACUCUAGCGAGACUGCCGGUAAUAAACCGGAGGAAGGUGGGGAUGACGUCAAAUCAUCAUGCCCCUUAUGACCUGGGCUACACACGUGCUACAAUGGCUGGUACAACGAGUCGCAAGNCGGUGACGGCAAGCUAAUCUCUUAAAGCCAGUCUCAGUUCGGAUUGUAGGCUGCAACUCGCCUACAUGAAGUCGGAAUCGCUAGUAAUCGCGGAUCAGCACGCCGCGGUGAAUACGUUCCCGGGNCUUGUACACACCGANAAA